UGGGGAAUUUUGGACAAUGGGCGAAAGCCUGAUCCAGCAAUGCCGCGUGUGUGAAGAAGGCCUUCGGGUUGUAAAGCACUUUUGUCCGGAAAGAAAUCCUUGGCUCUAAUACAGUCGGGGGAUGACGGUACCGGAAGAAUAAGCACCGGCUAACUACGUGCCAGCAGCCGCGGUAAUACGUAGGGUGCAAGCGUUAAUCGGAAUUACUGGGCGUAAAGCGUGCGCAGGCGGUUUGCUAAGACCGAUGUGAAAUUCCCGGGCUCAACCUGGGAACUGCAUUGGUGACUGGCAGGCUAGAGUAUGGCAGAGGGGGGUAGAAUUCCACGUGUAGCAGUGAAAUGCGUAGAGAUGUGGAGGAAUACCGAUGGCGAAGGCAGCCCCCUGGGCCAAUACUGACGCUCAUGCACGAAAGCGUGGGGAGCAAACAGGAUUAGAUACCCUGGUAGUCCACGCCCUAAACGAUGUCAACUAGUUGUUGGGGAUUCAUUUCCUUAGUAACGUAGCUAACGCGUGAAGUUGACCGCCUGGGGAGUACGGUCGCAAGAUUAAAACUCAAAUGAAUUGACGGGGUCAUAGCUG
RNAcentral lists this ribosomal RNA (579 nucleotides) under uncultured bacterium. RNAcentral's name for it is "partial 16S ribosomal RNA". It matches the Rfam family "Bacterial small subunit ribosomal RNA", at positions 355 to 932 of the family's 1533-position model. The record is from RNAcentral.